AUAUGGUCAAUGGCCUAACGGCUGAACCAGCAACUUGGAGGAAUGUAUAGGGAAAGCUGGUAAAAUGCAAUGUACCUAAUAAUAUUAGUGAUUAAUAUGAUAUUAACUAAGUUAAUUAAAAUUCAAUGUAGAUAUUGAUUAUGACAGUAUUUGCUUAUGUCUUGACCAAAUCACGUGCCAGCAGUCGCGGUAAUACGUGGAAGAUAAGUGUUAUUCAUCUUUAACAGGUUUAAAGGGUACCUAGACGGUUAAUUAAACACAAAUAUGUAUUAAUUAACUAGAGUUUAAUAUAAAAAGGUUUGAGUACGGUGAGUGAAGAGAUAUAAUUUUAUUAAACCACUAAGAAACUGGUAAAGGCGAAGGCAACCUUUUAUGUAAAAACUGACGUUGAGGAACGAAGGCUCGUAUAAAAGAACAGGAUUAGAUACCCUGGUAUUUUGGGCAGACAAUGAUGAGUGUCAUAUGCAAGAACAAUAAAAAUAAUAAUUUUGUGUAUAAAUGAAAGUGUAAGCACUCCACCUCAAGAGUAACGUGGCAACAUUGGAACUGAAAUCAUUAGACCGUUUCUGAAACUCGUAGUGAAGUAUGUUGUUUAAUUUGAUAACCCACAAAUAACCUUACCACAAUUUGUAUUACUUUAGCCAUUAUGAAGUAACAAGUGUUGCACGGCUGUCUCCAGUCAAUGUUGUGAAACCGUGGUUAGAUCCAUUAAAUUGACGUAAACCCUUACUUUAUUUAUUAUAAAGUAGUUCGCCGCUAUAUUGGUAGUGAUAUAUGGGACUAAGACAAGUCAUCAUGACCUGAACAUUGUGGGCUAUAGACGUGCCACAUUACCCUUAACAAAAAGAUGCAAAAUUGCGAAAUUUAGCUAAUCUAGAAAAAAGGAAAAAAUACGGAUUGUAG
RNAcentral lists this ribosomal RNA (903 nucleotides) under Thelotrema sp. Mangold 27v. Its description in RNAcentral is "SSU rRNA". It matches the Rfam family "Bacterial small subunit ribosomal RNA", at positions 359 to 1303 of the family's 1533-position model. The record is from RNAcentral. Lineage: Eukaryota; Fungi; Ascomycota; Lecanoromycetes; Ostropales; Graphidaceae.